UUCUUUGCAGUUUUAAUGGAACACUUUUCUAUUAAUUACACAAUACCGAAUAUGCACUAAAAAAUAUAUAACUUCAUGGAAAACUUUAUAUCAGCGAAAAGUCAAUUGAAAUUUAAAUAAAUUUGCAAUUUUUAUUGGAUUUAAAACACAUACAUACAUACGUAACCAAGUGAUAAUAUUAUGGAUUGUUAAAAUAUUGAAAACUGUAACGGAAUUUAAGAAAAUGUACCUGUCGUUUGUUUGAUAUUUGCAAAAAAACAUAAUAUACGAUUCCAUGUUAUACUACAAUUGAUACCUUUUUGUUUUGUUGUAGAGAAAAAUGAAAAAAAUAUCAAAAGUAACCGAAUAAAAUAUAAGUAGGUGAGUACAUAAAAAUAAUAUCUACUUAAGUAUUUAUAAAAUAAUAAAAAAAAAAAAAUAAAAUUUCUUGCCCACAUCAGGCUCAUUUAUUGAUUUGCGUUUGCUUUUACAAAUAUUUACAAACAGUGUGACUAAUAGUAGUUCAUACUUUUUUUCAUUAAGUGUGACAACUAAACUAAUUCAAAAUCCAAAAUAAUGUUUAAUAUUAAGUUUUUACUUUUGUCUCCUUUAUUUUUUGUUCCUCUGUAUUUGUUGUUUAUAUUUGGCAACAUCUUCAAUUUAAGUAGAUAUAUUUUCUUGUUUUUUUUUGCUACUUUUCUGCUCAUAAUGUGAAACUUUUAUAAAUAACACGUGCCACAGAUCAAACUCAUUUUAUACGUCCAUUCAUUCACAGAUACAUUUCAAUGACAGUUAGAUAUAUUUUUUUCACUCCCAGGACUAUUGUUAUCUCUACCUACAUACCACAAAAAAAUAUUUAAAUUUUACUCAUUAUGAGGAGCUUUUUAGUACAGAACUAUUUUUAACUUCCUGAUAUUUAUAAAAUUUAUCCUAUUUUAACUCCCACAACAUUAAUGGGUUAAUUUCGAUACGUAUUUACCCCCUUAUUCAUAAACACAAUUUUAUUUUAUAAAAGA
Molecule: long non-coding RNA, 995 nt
Organism: Lucilia sericata (common green bottle fly)
Lineage: Eukaryota; Metazoa; Arthropoda; Insecta; Diptera; Calliphoridae
Exons: 3
Source: RefSeq, a predicted model, not a curated record